This is a long non-coding RNA of Planococcus citri (citrus mealybug), 425 nucleotides long. RefSeq lists it as uncharacterized. The record is from RefSeq and is a predicted model, not a curated record. The transcript is spliced from 3 exons. NCBI's taxonomy places the organism in Eukaryota, Metazoa, Arthropoda, Insecta, Hemiptera, Pseudococcidae.
AAUUAUAAGGUCUGAUAUCAAACAUAAACAAAGCGAAAAAGCUCAGAAAACAAUCAAAAUUAUUUUCCUUGUCCGGUUUUAAAUUUGAAAAGAAGGAAGAAAGCUUCAAAAGCGUUUAUCAUUCAUCUUUAAAAAGCUUUAUUUCAACGUUUGAAUAAUCGUGCUUCCAUAGGAUACGUCCAGUUCAAUUCAAUGGCAGAGAAGAGUAUUUGAAAACACAUCAAUGUUAACGUCCCACCCAUUUCGUAGAAUCAGAAUCAUAACACACUUUGACAAAGCAAUUGAAUUUCGAUCAUCUUGAAAAGAAUAAUCAAAUCCAAACACUUUAUUUGACGAUUGGGAAAAUCUCAUACUCGGAAGAAAAUACAACAACUACAGUAACUUACCAGUACUCAUGAAAUACGGUAUACGGAAUCUGCCGGAUA